This 555-nucleotide non-coding RNA is filed under the name Trichomonas vaginalis G3. RNAcentral describes it as "Eukaryotic small subunit ribosomal RNA". It matches the Rfam family "Eukaryotic small subunit ribosomal RNA", at positions 1226 to 1831 of the family's 1831-position model. The record is from Rfam by way of RNAcentral. Lineage: Eukaryota; Parabasalia; Trichomonadida; Trichomonadidae.
AGAUGUUUUUUAUGACUGACAGGCUUCGGGUCUUUCAGGAUAUUGUUUUUGGUGGUGCAUGGCCGUUGGUGGUGCGUGGGUUGACCUGUCUAGCGUUGAUUCAGCUAACGAGCGAGAUUAUCGCCAAUUAUUUACUUUGCCGAAGUCUUCGGUUAAAGUUCUAAUUGGGACUCCCUGCGAUUUUAGCAGGUGGAAGAGGGUAGCAAUAACAGGUCCGUGAUGCCCUUUAGAUGCUCUGGGCUGCACGCGUGCUACAAUGUUAGGAUCAAUAGGACUGCGAGCCUGAGAGGGUGCGCUACUCUUAUAAUCCCUAACGUAGUUGGGAUUGACGUUUGUAAUCAGCGUCAUGAACCAGGAAUCCCUUGUAAAUGUGUGUCAACAACGCACGUUGAAUACGUCCCUGCCCUUUGUACACACCGCCCGUCGCUCCUACCGAUUGGAUGACUCGGUGAAAUCACCGGAUGCUUACGAGCAGAAAGUGAUUAAAUCACGUUAUCUAGAGGAAGGAGAAGUCGUAACAAGGUAACGGUAGGUGAACCUGCCGUUGGAUCAGUU